GCUGGGCGUAGUGGUGGGUGCCUGUAAUCCCAGCUACUUAGGAGGCUGAGGCAGGAGAAUCACUUGCGCCCAGGAGGCGGAGGGUGCAGCGAGCCGAGAUUGCGCCACUGCACUCCAUUCUGGGCAACAGAGUGAGACUCUGUCUCAC
This 148-nucleotide small RNA is filed under the name Pongo abelii (Sumatran orangutan). Its description in RNAcentral is "Metazoan signal recognition particle RNA (ENSPPYG00000037328.1)". Lineage: Eukaryota; Metazoa; Chordata; Mammalia; Primates; Hominidae. The record is from Rfam by way of RNAcentral.